This 334-nucleotide ribosomal RNA is filed under the name Kocuria palustris. RNAcentral's name for it is "bacterial SSU rRNA". It matches the Rfam family "Bacterial small subunit ribosomal RNA", at positions 1 to 332 of the family's 1533-position model. The record is from RNAcentral. Lineage: Bacteria; Bacillati; Actinomycetota; Actinomycetes; Micrococcales; Micrococcaceae.
UCAACGGAGAGUUUGAUCCUGGCUCAGGACGAACGCUGGCGGCGUGCUUAACACAUGCAAGUCGAACGCUGAAGCACCAGCUUGCUGGUGUGGAUGAGUGGCGAACGGGUGAGUAAUACGUGAGUAACCUGCCCUUGACUCUGGGAUAAGCCCGGGAAACUGGGUCUAAUACUGGAUGCUACAUGUCACCGCAUGGUGGUGUGUGGAAAGGGUUUACUGGUCUUGGAUGGGCUCACGGCCUAUCAGCUUGUUGGUGAGGUAAUGGCUCACCAAGGCGACGACGGGUAGCCGGCCUGAGAGGGUGACCGGCCACACUGGGACUGAGACACGGCCC